UGCCCAAAUUCGAAGUAGAGUGGAUUAGUAUGGUCAGCUGAUCCUAUUGAUCUACUCUACUUCAAGUUUGCGCCC
Non-coding RNA from Haemonchus contortus (barber pole worm), 75 nucleotides. The record is from Rfam. NCBI's taxonomy places the organism in Eukaryota, Metazoa, Nematoda, Chromadorea, Rhabditida, Trichostrongylidae.